This 3451-nucleotide long non-coding RNA is filed under the name Hordeum vulgare. RNAcentral describes it as "long non-coding RNA (HVUL_LNC001021)". The record is from RNAcentral. Lineage: Eukaryota; Viridiplantae; Streptophyta; Magnoliopsida; Poales; Poaceae.
AGCUAACAGCGCAGCCCAGCUAGACCCUAAGUGGAGUCUUCGUGCUCCUUUGUACGUCAACCAUCCAGGGGAGCCUCGUAGCCCUCCGGUCGAUUUGACGGCCGGAGAGAGCCCGAGCCGCCUGUAAGUUGUGUCCCCCGUGUUGCCCUAGUUUGCCUAGACCCAUUCCUCCCUCCACUUCGCCUCGCCGCCGCGAGGUAAGAUAGCUUCGCGCCCUGUUGUCGCCGCGUCCGCCGUGCUCCGGCUGAGCAGCAGCUCGGGCCCGGAGUUGAUCUUCAUCGCUCCCUCUCCCUCUGGUGCACGCGAAGGGAUCCUCCCCAUGCUCCUCUCUGUCUUCGACGGCUCGCGGGGCCCCAAGGAGUCGCCUCGAUGUUGUUUGCUUCCUCUUCUUCUCAGGCAGAACCGGUUCGGAAGUGCGCCGGACUUCAGCAGCUCGCCAUCACAUUCUCAAGCCUCUUUCGACAUCGUCUUCGUGCCCUAGGUGAGGUGGUAUGACCCCCCUCUUCCUUCCCCCUGUCCAUAGCGUCGAUCCGGCCAUCCGUAAGCGUAGAUCCGGCCGUGACAUCGUCGUGCUCGACGCGCUCCCGUUCUCUUCUGUGAAGAUGAUCUUCAGUAAAGAAAGCUGCGGUUGUACCCCCCCCCNNNNNNNNNNNNNNNNNNNNNNNNNNNNNNNNNNNNNNNNNNNNNNNNNNNNNNNNNNNNNNNNNNNNNNNNNNNNNNNNNNNNNNNNNNNNNNUGGUUUGCCCUUUAUUUGUUUUUGGGUUCUAGCACUGGUUUGCCCUUUAUUUGUUUCUGGGUUUUUUUUCCCGUCUGUAGAGCGUGGAAGUUCGGUUAGAUAAUACUCUUAGAGCAGGCGGCCCUGCACAGUUGUGCUUACCUCUGAGAUAUAGACACAGGUGGCGGGUUCAAACCCCACCACUCCCUUUUAGUUUUGUCCGUUAAUAUGUUGUAUUAUGCCACUCACAAGUGGGACACACGGUCCACAUGUCAUGCACAGAUUGUUUUUGGGUUCUAACCCUGGUUUGCCCUUUAUUUGUUUCUGGGUUUGUUUCCCGUCUGUAGAGCGUGGAAGUUCGGUUAGAUAAUGCUCUUAGAGCAGGCGGCCCUGCACAGUUGUGCUUACCUCUGAGAUAUAGACAGAGGUGGCGGGUUCAAACCCACCACUCCCUUUUAGUUUUGUCCGUUAAUAUGUUGUAUUAUGCCACUCACAAGUGGGACACAGGGUCCACAUGUCAUGCACAGAGGUGGUGGGUUCGAACCCCACCACUUCCUUUUAGUUUUCUGUGUUAAUAUGUUGUAUUGUGCCACUUACAAGUGGGACACAGGGUCCACAUGUCAUGCACUAGGGACCUGGUAUCUAUGACCAGUGGGCCCUGGCUGUUUGGUUUAGUGUUCUUUUUUUCUCUUUAUUUAUUCUAUUGAGGUGAUAGAUUCCAUGUUUGGAAUAAUUCCUAAUAAGGAAUUUGCUUAUUCUGGCAUAUGCCAAAUUGGGAAGGCUCAAGAACAGCUCAUGUUCUUGACUAUGUGUUGUAGUUUUGAUUGUGUGUAGAUUUUCUUUUGUUGUUUGUAGAGCUUUUCUGUAUGCUAAGAUGGCACUAUGAUAUAUGGAUUUGGGGUAGAAGAAUCCAAGGAAUCCAAUGGUGUUUUUGGUUUCUGAUUUUGAGCAUUCAUGUAGAAAGUACCCUUGUGGUGAGGUGGCAAUAGUUUUAUCGAUGUAGGAUUAUUUUAUGUGCUUGUUUGGAGCAGUGCAUACAUGCAUCAUAUUGUCUGUUGCAUCAUUUGUUGCUGGUGUUUAUAGAUGUUUGUUUCUUUUGUGUUGUUACCGGGGCCGAAAACGAGUUCGAGGAGUCCGGAGAGUUCGUGCAAGAAGAACUAGAGCAGUUCUAGUGUGAAGAAAUCACAGGCAAGAUGAUCAUGGCCUUGAUACCGUUUCUAGCUUCGUUAUGCUUAGUGUUACGUUUCCUUCGUUACAUCUCCGCUGCCUACCACAUGAUAUAUAUGCCACCAAACAUUGCCAUGAAACCUCAAACACUUCCCCUCCUAGCAAAUAUUGUUUGGCUAGUAUAGGCUUGCUCAACCGCUAAUUGUUAGCGUUGCUAGUUGCAGGUGCCAGCUGAUCCAUGUGAUACAUGGACAAUUUGAUAUCAUCAUAUUUAACUACUAUUUAAUUAACGCACCUAUAUACUUGGUAAAUAACGGAAGGCCUAACCUUUUGCCGGGUGAUUUGUUCCGUUGUUGCCACCUUAGUUUUGGCUAUCGGUGUUUUAUUCCAUAAAUGAGCACAUCUAACACGUUCGAGGUUGUUAUGGGGACACCCUCGAUAAAUCGUAUAGUGUUAAGACUUGUCUUGCAAGACCCGACUUUGGUGUUAAUCUGGUAACAACUUAAUAAUUAAAUGCAUAGGGAAUAGCUACCCCGAGGAACUAAAUCAACCCCCGGGAGAGUGCUCCUCAUGAGUGUUGGUCAAACCCAGAGCCAUUUGCGGGGCGAACCCAGGGCAACCCGGGAGAUGUCUAUCAGGCCACUGUACGCUGUGCUUAUCCGACGUGUCCUGAGACAGAGAUACACGGCUCUUAUCAGGGUCGUCGACACAUCGGGCGGUCUUGCUAGACUUGUCUUACCUUAGCGAUAUAUCUUGCGCAUUGGGAUUCCGGUGAGACUUUGGGUCUUCUCAGAGUUUAGGUUUUCCUCUAAGGAAUCCGACGAGAUCACGAGUUUCGUGGUAGAGGAUUACUUUUAGGCCUGUGGUAAUUUGUGCUUGACUAGGUGGAGCACCCCUGCAGGAUUUAAUCUUUUGGAAAGUCAUGCCCGCGGUUAUGUGGGAAACAUGGAUAUUUUGUUAACAUCCGGUUCUAGACAACUUAAAGUAAUUGUAAUAAAACUUGCAAACUGAGUGCAUAACCGUGAUUGUCUCUUUCAGAGCUCCUUCUCUGAUCAAGAACACGAUGGGGUUAUGAAUGAUGUAAGUAGGUGUUCAGGAUCACUUAGUGAUCAUUCUAGUCUUCGAUCGUCUUACUAGACCACCACAUAUUAAUUUUGUUCAUCUUAAGAUAUCCACCAUAUAAGCUUAGGAUGCUUCAAACUCAAACACUCAACCUAUCUCACCCAUUUAACUCAGUUAGACUCGAUACCUAGGUCAUGAGAUUGCUGAGUCCUCGUGUCUCACGGUUUACUACAAACACCCACAGGUACAGGAACCCCUGAUGCAGGAGUUCCCGAUGCCAGCCAGCUGAAGUAGGAGUUCGAUGAGGACAGCGGCAGGUUGCAUGUGACUUAUCCCGAGAACUAAAGGUCGUGGUCGUGAUCGUGGGGCCAGCAUGCGGGAUAUCAUAGCUUUUGUUGUUUAUCUUUUCCUAGCCGGACCAUUCCAUGUUCUGAAUAAUGUAUGAAUGUAUGACUAUGUACUUUAUCAGAUGGAAAGUGUGUUCCCUACUCGUCACUCUUUCAGUUA